RNAcentral lists this ribosomal RNA (986 nucleotides) under uncultured bacterium. Its description in RNAcentral is "bacterial SSU rRNA". It matches the Rfam family "Bacterial small subunit ribosomal RNA", at positions 8 to 995 of the family's 1533-position model. The record is from RNAcentral.
AGAGUUUGAUCAUGGCUCAGGACGAACGCUGGCGGCGUGCUUAACACAUGCAAGUCGAACGGAAAGGCCCUUUCGGGGGUACUCGAGUGGCGAACGGGUGAGUAACACGUGGGUGAUCUGCCCUGCACUUCGGGAUAAGCUUGGGAAACUGGGUCUAAUACCGGAUAGGACUACGGCCUGCAUGGGUUGUGGUGGAAAGCUUUUGCGGUGUGGGAUGGGCCCGCGGCCUAUCAGCUUGUUGGUGGGGUGAUGGCCUACCAAGGCGACGACGGGUAGCCGGCCUGAGAGGGUGUCCGGCCACACUGGGACUGAGAUACGGCCCAGACUCCUACGGGAGGCAGCAGUGGGGAAUAUUGCACAAUGGGCGCAAGCCUGAUGCAGCGACGCCGCGUGGGGGAUGACGGCCUUCGGGUUGUAAACCUCUUUCACCAUCGACGAAGGCCCGGCGUUUGUUGGGUUGACGGUAGGUGGAGAAGAAGCACCGGCCAACUACGUGCCAGCAGCCGCGGUAAUACGUAGGGUGCGAGCGUUGUCCGGAAUUACUGGGCGUAAAGAGCUCGUAGGUGGUUUGUCGCGUUGUUCGUGAAAUUCCCUGGCUUAACUGGGGGCGUGCGGGCGAUACGGGCAGACUGGAGUACUGCAGGGGAGACUGGAAUUCCUGGUGUAGCGGUGGAAUGCGCAGAUAUCAGGAGGAACACCGGUGGCGAAGGCGGGUCUCUGGGCAGUAACUGACGCUGAGGAGCGAAAGCGUGGGGAGCGAACAGGAUUAGAUACCCUGGUAGUCCACGCCGUAAACGGUGGGUACUAGGUGUGGGUUUCCUUCCUUGGGAUCUGUGCCGUAGCUAACGCAUUAAGUACCCCGCCUGGGGAGUACGGCCGCAAGGCUAAAACUCAAAGGAAUUGACGGGGGCCCGCACAAGCGGCGGAGCAUGUGGAUUAAUUCGAUGCAACGCGAAGAACCUUACCUGGGUUUGACAUGCACAGGA